UUCCCUAACCUCCGAGUCUUAAAAUUGUCAAGGUUGAAAUUUCGCAACUGGACUGCAUUUUCUGAUAAUUUUUCCCGCCUUGUGAAAUUGGUCUUGCACCGAUGUAAGGAGCUGGAAAAGGUCCCUUCCUGUUUAGGGGAGUGUGAGACUCUUGAAAUGAUUGUGGUGGAAAAUUGUCCUGAGUCUGUUGUAGAUUCUGUAAAGCAAAUUCAACAAGAGCAGAUGGACAUGGGAAAUGAGGUUCUAAAGAUCGAAAUUCAUUCCAUUCCUUAGAAGAAGAGUCUAAAGAAGCAGAGUCAAUUCCCUCAGAAGCAGAGGAGGUUUCUUCAGAAAGAGAGUCUAUAUCCUCUCAUCACGCAGUUGGCAAUUGUGAGAGUGAAUGUACAGUGGGAUUCCACUCAUCAGAGCAGGUUUCCUCAGAAGGUGAAGACUGAAACAUUUAUGUCUCUCCUUGAUUUGGUGUGGUCAUUCCACUCAUCAGGGGCAAGCACAGUCAUGCAUUCUAUCAAGCCAACAUUAUCCAUCAUAAUCUAUUUGUAAAAUGUUCUCCAUGUUCUUUUCUGGUUUGAUGUUUAAUAGUGUUUAUGAUCCAUCACAAUCUGUUUGUAAAAUAUUCUCAAGUUAAAGAAGCUGGAUGAUAUUUUUGCUGAACAAUA
Non-coding RNA from Coffea arabica (coffee), 656 nucleotides. The record is from RefSeq and is a predicted model, not a curated record. NCBI's taxonomy places the organism in Eukaryota, Viridiplantae, Streptophyta, Magnoliopsida, Gentianales, Rubiaceae.